GUGUCCCAUAACACCGGCUGGUAAAGCUCUGUCUGGAUGAGGGAAUGUUGUUGUGUCUCAUAACACCGGCUGGUAAAGCUCUGUCUGGAUGAGGGAAUGUUGUUGUGUCUCAUAACACCGGCUGGUAAAGCUCUGUCUGGAUGAGGGAAUGUUGUUGUGUCUCAUAACACCGGCUGGUAAAGCUCUGUCUGGAUGAGGGAAUGUUGUUGUGUCUCAUAACACCGGCUGGUAAAGCUCUGUCUGGAUGAGGGAAGGUUGUUGUGUCUCAUAACACCGGCUGGUAAAGCUCUGUCUGGAUGAGGGAAUGUUGUUGUGUCUCAUAACACCGGCUGGUAAAGCUCUGUCUGGAUGAGGGAAUGUUGUUGUGUCUCAUAA
Long non-coding RNA from Oncorhynchus keta (chum salmon), 375 nucleotides. RefSeq lists it as uncharacterized. The record is from RefSeq and is a predicted model, not a curated record. Lineage: Eukaryota; Metazoa; Chordata; Actinopteri; Salmoniformes; Salmonidae. The transcript has 3 exons.